This 468-nucleotide ribosomal RNA is filed under the name uncultured bacterium. Its description in RNAcentral is "partial 16S ribosomal RNA". It matches the Rfam family "Bacterial small subunit ribosomal RNA", at positions 28 to 507 of the family's 1533-position model. The record is from RNAcentral.
GACGAACGCUGGCGGCGUGCUUAACACAUGCAAGUCGAACGGAAAGGCCCUGCUUUUGUGGGGUGCUCGAGUGGCGAACGGGUGAGUAACACGUGAGUAACCUGCCCUUGACUUUGGGAUAACUUCAGGAAACUGGGGCUAAUACCGGAUAGGAGCUCCUGCUGCAUGGUGGGGGUUGGAAAGUUUCGGCGGUUGGGGAUGGACUCGCGGCUUAUCAGCUUGUUGGUGGGGUAGUGGCUUACCAAGGCUUUGACGGGUAGCCGGCCUGAGAGGGUGACCGGCCACAUUGGGCCUGAGAUACGGCCCAGACCCCUACGGUAGGCAGCAGUGCGGAAUAUUGCACAAUGGGCGGAAGCCUGAUGCAGCAACGCCGCGUGCGGGAUGACGGCCUUCUGGUUGUAAACCGCUUUCGCCUGUGACGAAGCGUGAGUGACGGUAAUGGGUAAAGAAGCACCGGCUAACUACGUG